AUUGAACGCUGGCGGCAGGCUUAACACAUGCAAGUCGAGCGGUAGCACAGAGAGCUUGCUCUUGGGUGACAAGCGGCGGACGGGUGAGUAACGCGUAGGAAUCUACCUAGUAGUGGGGGACAACAGUUGGAAACGACUGCUAAUACCGCAUACGCCCUAAGGGGGAAAGCGGGGGAUCUUCGGACCUCGUGCUAUUAGAUGAGCCUGCGUGAGAUUAGCUAGUUGGUGAGGUAAAGGCUCACCAAGGCGACGAUCUCUAGCUGGUCUGAGAGGAUGAUCAGCCACACUGGGACUGAGACACGGCCCAGACUCCUACGGGAGGCAGCAGUGGGGAAUAUUGGACAAUGGGCGCAAGCCUGAUCCAGCCAUGCCGCGUGUGUGAAGAAGGCCUUCGGGUUGUAAAGCACUUUCAGAAGGGAGGAAAGGUUGUGUGUUAAUAGCACAUAGCUGUGACGUUACCUUCAGAAGAAGCACCGCUAACU
RNAcentral lists this ribosomal RNA (482 nucleotides) under uncultured bacterium. Its description in RNAcentral is "bacterial SSU rRNA". It matches the Rfam family "Bacterial small subunit ribosomal RNA", at positions 30 to 502 of the family's 1533-position model. The record is from RNAcentral.